Molecule: ribosomal RNA, 468 nt
Filed under: uncultured bacterium
Lineage: Bacteria
Description: partial 16S ribosomal RNA
Rfam family: Bacterial small subunit ribosomal RNA
Source: RNAcentral
GACGAACGCUGGCGGCGUGCUUAAUACAUGCAAGUCGAACGGAAAGGCCCUGCUCUUGCGGGGUGCUCGAGUGGCGAACGGGUGAGUAACACGUGAGUAACCUGCCCUUGACUUUGGGAUAACUCUAGGAAACUGGGGCUAAUAUCCGAUAGGAUCUCCUGCUGCAUGGUGGGGGUUGGAAAGAUUCGGCGGUUGGGGAUCGUUUCGCGGCUUAUCGGCCUGUUGGUGGGGUAGUGGCUUACCAAGGCUUCGACGGGUAGCCGGCCUGAGAGGGUGACCGGCCACAUUGGGACUGAGAUACGGCCCAGAAGCCUACGGGAGGCAACAGUGGAGAAUAUUGCACAGUGGGCGGAAGCCUGAUGCGGCAACGCCGGGUGCGGGAUGACGGCCUUCGGGUUGUAAACCGCUUUCGCCUGUGACGAAGCGUGAGUGACGGUAAUGGGUAAAGAAGCACCGGCUAACUACGUG